RNAcentral lists this ribosomal RNA (460 nucleotides) under uncultured bacterium. RNAcentral's name for it is "partial 16S ribosomal RNA". It matches the Rfam family "Bacterial small subunit ribosomal RNA", at positions 338 to 795 of the family's 1533-position model. The record is from RNAcentral.
CCUACGGGAGGCUGCAGUGAGGAAUAUUGGUCAAUGGGCUUACGCCUGAACCAGCCAAGUCGCGUGAGGGAAGACUGCCCUAUGGGUUGUAAACCUCUUUUGUCAGGGAGCAACGCCGGCUACGUGUAGCCGGACUGAGAGUACCUGAAGAAAACGCAUCGGCUACCUCCGUGCCAGCAGCCGCGGUAAUACGGAGGAUGCGAGCGUUAUCCGGUUUUAUGGGGUUUAAAGGGUGCGUAGGCGGAAUGCCAAGUCAGCGGUAAAAUCGCGGGGCUCAACCUCGCUCCGCCGUUGAAACUGGCGUUCUUGAGUGGGCGAGAAGUAUGCGGAAGGCGUGGUGUAGCGGUGAAAUGCAUAGAUAUCACGCAGAACUCCGAUUGCGAAGGCAGCAUACCGGCGCCCAACUGACGCUGAAGCACGAAAGCGUGGGUAUCGAACAGGAUUAGAUACCCCAGUAGUC